GACGAACGCUGGCGGCGUGCUUAACACAUGCAAGUCGAACGGAAAGGCCCUGCUUUUGUGGGGUGCUCGAGUGGCGAACGGGUGAGUAACACGUGAGUAACCUGCCCUUGACUUUGGGAUAACUUCAGGAAACUGGGGCUAAUACCGGAUAGGAGCUCCUGCUGCAUGGUGGGGGUUGGAAAGUUUCGGCGGUUGGGGAUGGACUCGCGGCUUAUCAGCUUGUUGGUGGGGUAGUGGCUUACCAAGGCUUUGACGGGUAGCCGGCCUGAGAGGGUGACCGGCCACAUUGGGACUGAGAUACGGCACAGACUACUACGGGAGGGAGAAGUGGGGAAUAUUGCACAAUGGGAGGAAGGCUGAUGCAGAAACGCCGCGUGCGGGAUGACGGCCUUCGGGUUGUAAACCGCUUUCGCCUGUGACGAAGCGUGAGUGACGGUAAUGGGUAAAGAAGCACCGGCUAACUACGUG
RNAcentral lists this ribosomal RNA (468 nucleotides) under uncultured bacterium. RNAcentral describes it as "partial 16S ribosomal RNA". It matches the Rfam family "Bacterial small subunit ribosomal RNA", at positions 28 to 507 of the family's 1533-position model. The record is from RNAcentral.